This 378-nucleotide ribosomal RNA is filed under the name uncultured bacterium. RNAcentral's name for it is "bacterial SSU rRNA". It matches the Rfam family "Bacterial small subunit ribosomal RNA", at positions 521 to 896 of the family's 1533-position model. The record is from RNAcentral.
UAAUACGUAGGGUGCGAGCGUUGUCCGGAAUUAUUGGGCGUAAAGAGCUCGUAGGCGGUUUGUCACGUCUGCUGUGAAAUCCCGAGGCUCAACCUCGGGCCUGCAGUGGGUACGGGCAGACUGGAGUGCGGUAGGGGAGAAUGGAAUUCCUGGUGUAGCGGUGGAAUGCGCAGAUAUCAGGAGGAACACCGAUGGCGAAGGCAGUUCUCUGGGCCGUAACUGACGCUGAGGAGCGAAAGCGUGGGGAGCGAACAGGAUUAGAUACCCUGGUAGUCCACGCCGUAAACGUUGGGCGCUAGAUGUGGGGACCUUUCCACGGUUUCCGUGUCGUAGCUAACGCAUUAAGCGCCCCGCCUGGGGAGUACGGCCGCAAGGCUA